UACGAAGGGUGCAAGCGUUGUUCGGAAUCACUGGGCGUAAAGGGCGUGUAGGCGGUCAGGUAAGUGGAAUGUGAAAUCCCUCGGCUCACCCGAGGACCUGCAUCCCAAACUGCCUGGCUUGAGUAUGGGAGAGGAUGAGGGAAUUCCUGGUGUAGCGGUGAAAUGCGUAGAUAUCAGGAGGAACACCGGUGGCGAAGGCGCGCAUCUGGCCCAAUACUGACGCUGAAGCGCGAAAGCUAGGGGAGCAAACGGG
Molecule: ribosomal RNA, 253 nt
Filed under: uncultured bacterium
Lineage: Bacteria
Description: partial 16S ribosomal RNA
Rfam family: Bacterial small subunit ribosomal RNA
Source: RNAcentral